GCACAAGCAGUGGAGUAUGUGGUUUAAUUCGAAGCAACGCGAAGAACCUUACCAGGUCUUGACAUCCCGAUGACCGCCUUAGAGAUAAGGCUUUUCUUCGGAACAUCGGUGACAGGUGGUGCAUGGUUGUCAUCAGCUCGUGUCGUGAGAUGUUGGGUUAAGUCCCGCAACGAGCGCAACCCUUACGGUUAGUUGAUACGCAAGAUCACUCUAGCCGGACUGCCGUUGACAAAA
RNAcentral lists this ribosomal RNA (234 nucleotides) under uncultured bacterium. RNAcentral describes it as "partial 16S ribosomal RNA". It matches the Rfam family "Bacterial small subunit ribosomal RNA", at positions 923 to 1163 of the family's 1533-position model. The record is from RNAcentral.